Molecule: ribosomal RNA, 323 nt
Filed under: uncultured Pseudomonadota bacterium
Lineage: Bacteria; Pseudomonadati; Pseudomonadota
Description: bacterial SSU rRNA
Rfam family: Bacterial small subunit ribosomal RNA
Source: RNAcentral
AUUGAACGCUGGCGGCGUGCUUAACACAUGCAAGUCGAGCGGUAACAGGCGUAGCAAUACGUGCUGACGAGCGGCGAACGGGUGCGUAAUACAUGGGAAUCUGCCCUUUGGUGGGGAAUAACCCGGCGAAAGCCGGGCUAAUGCCGCAUGAGAUCUUCGGAUGAAAGCGGGGGAUCGUAAGACCUCGCGCCGAUGGAUGAGCCCAUGUCGGAUUAGCUAGUUGGUGAGGUAACGGCUCACCAAGGCGACGAUCCGUAGCUGGUCUGAGAGGACGGCCAGCCACACUGGGACUGAGACACGGCCCAGACUCCUACGGGAGGCAG